Molecule: long non-coding RNA, 2719 nt
Filed under: Capsella grandiflora
Lineage: Eukaryota; Viridiplantae; Streptophyta; Magnoliopsida; Brassicales; Brassicaceae
Description: long non-coding RNA (CGRA_LNC000070)
Source: RNAcentral
CACCACCAUAUGCCAAUUGACGAAUUGGUGCAGUACAUUUUUGUAUUGGUGAAAGGCUAGGCCGUCCUGCAGCAUCUUGGGUUUGUUGGAAAUAUUGGACUUCGUUAGAUAGACGGUGCACAAUACGCAUAAACAAUGGCUUGUUCAUUCGAAAACGUCGCUGGAAUAAAUUGUGCGGUAUGUUGGAGUGUCACUAAAAUAAUCAUUCUCAAGAUUAUUUUUGCCUUCUUCACGGUUUCUUUGGCUCGGUGGGUUCCUCCAAGAGGUUAUAAUUUUUGUGAAAAUUUUGAUAAUACACAUCAAAUGGAUCAUCCUCAUCUCUUUGGUAGUGAAUAUGAUUUGAAGAUGAUGCUAUGUUUUUGCAAGAAAAUAUGAGAAAGUGGUAGAGAAAAAUUAAAAGUGAGUACGUGAGAUAGAAAAUUUGAAAACCAAAGUGAGAAAUUGUGAGAAAGUGUUAUACAAAAGUUGACAAAUAGUGAGGAAGUGAAGAGUAGUUUAUAAAAUGUGAGGAAGUGAAGAGUAAACGAUUUUCCGGCGAAAAAAGUUCAGAAUCCAGGUCGUCUCUGUCGUAGUCGAGAGAGAGACAGAGAGAGAGAGAGAGAAUGCGAAGAGAAACCAAAGACAUCAACAUUUUUCUUCUCCACUAACUCACACCUCCAAUCAUCAACUGCCACCUGGCUCGAAGGACGACUCAUAUUGGUCCCGAUUUCAGAAACGUACUCACAUUAAACGUAUUAAUGAUUUAAUUUUAACCAAAAAAAUGAAUGGGACUUUGCUUAUUAACGCCAAUGCAGUUGCUCUUAAGGGCAUGUGCAGCGGUAGAACAAUUUUUUGUCCGAGGAAAUUUUUUUUUUUUUAGAAAAAAAAACAAGUAUGAGGUAACUAAUUGCGGGCCGCAACAUGUCAGUGGGGCCUGCGAAUAGUGAAAAAGAAGAAGAAGGACGUACGUAUAUAACGUACGUCCCGUGGAUUUUUUUCGUUUUUCUUUUCUAUUUUUUCUUUUUUUUGGGGGACUAGGUGGAGGAUCACCAAUGCCCAUUGUCUAAGAGCAUAAGCAUUGGUUUGUCCCAUUUCAUUGUCCCAUUAAUUUUUUAAGUAUAUUUUACAUGUAGGACAAUUGAUUUAUUUUGAAGGUUGAGCAUUGUUGUAUUUUGAUUUUUUGUCCCACAAUUAUAAAUAUCAUAUUUUUUAAUUAAAUAAUUAUUUAUUGAAUUAUAAAAGGAAAAAAAUAUUUAUUAAUAUUAAACAUUAUAAAAUUUUAAAAUUACAAAAAAAGAGUAUGAUGGAAAAAAAAUACUACAUCACAUUAUAAAUAUAAAACAUAAACCAUAGAAAGAUAUAAAGUACAAUAUGUUGAAUUCAUAGAAAUGUAAAACUUAAUUUUCAUAAUCUUAAAGAUGUCCGAAAUUAGUCCAAAUAUGUUCUAUCAAAUCAUGUUUUAAUUGUUCAUGUGCUUGUUUAUCCCGAACUCUUGUUCGACGAGUAAUCGUUGUGCCUAUAUUUGAACCCACACCGGCGGUACCAACAGUAUAUGUUUGAUCGACAUCUUCUCCGUGCUGAAAUUCAGAAAUGUUACGGACAUUGUAUGUAUGUCGUUCAUCUUCGACAAUCAUAUUAUAGAGUAUUAUGCAUGCUUUCAUAACAUUUGUCAUUUUGUUUUUAUCCCAUAAAGGAGAAGGAUUUUUAACAAUGGCAAACCUAGCUUGCAAAACUCCAAAGGCACGCUCAACAUCUUUCUGCACAGCUUCUUGUUUUUUAGAGAAGAGUGAAUUUUUCAUACCUUGCGAAAGUCGGAUAGAUUGAAUAAAAGUGGCCCAUUUCGGAUAAAUACCAUCAGUUAGAUAGUACGCCAAAUUGUACUCCUUUCCGUUGACAAAGAAAUUGACCUUCGGUGCUUGACCGUUUAUAAUGUCAUCAAAAACAUUAGAACGAUCAAGAAUAUUAAGGUCGUUCAUAGUACCUGGAGCUCCAAAAAAUGCAUGCCAAAUCCAUAGGUCAUAAGAAGCUACCGCUUCCAACACAAUAGUAGGUUUUCCGAUUUCUCGUGAAUACAUACCCUUCCAAGCUGUGGGACAAUUCUUCCAACCCAAUGCAUACAGUCAAUGCUCCCAAUCAUCCCUGGAAAUCCACGUUGUUCAAUUUGAUGGAGUAGUCUUUGUAGGUCUUCCUGGGUGGGACGUCUUAAGUAUUCAUCGCCAAACAAUUGAAGUAUUGCAGCGGUAAACUCGUGCAAGCAUUUUCAAGCUGUGGAGGCACCAAUUCAUACAUACCCGUCGACCGUGUCACAAGCACUACCAUAUGCCAAUUGACGAAUAGCUGCAGUGCAUUUUUGUAUUGGUGAAAGACUAGCGCGUCCGGCCGCAUCUUGGGUUUGUUGAAAAUAUUGGAUUUCCGUAGAAAGACGGUGCACAAUACGCAUGAACAAUGGCUUGUUCAUUCGAAAACGUCGACGGAUUGUGCGGGUAUGUUGGAGUGUCACUAAAAUAAUCAUUCCAAAGCUUAUUGUGCCCAUCUUCACGGUUUCUCUCUAUGAAAACUCGUUUUUUUGGCUCGAUCGGUUCUUGCAAGAGAUUUAAAUUUUCUUGAAAAUUUUGAUAAUACGCAUCAAAUGGAUCAUCUUCAUCUUUUUGGUAGUAAAAAUGAUUUGAAGAUGAUGCCAUGUUUGUAUGAAGAAGAAGAGUAGAAGGGAAUAAAAAGAAAAAAAAAACCUUUGACGAAG